Molecule: non-coding RNA, 359 nt
Filed under: Calypte anna (Anna's hummingbird)
Lineage: Eukaryota; Metazoa; Chordata; Aves; Apodiformes; Trochilidae
Description: Eukaryotic large subunit ribosomal RNA
Rfam family: Eukaryotic large subunit ribosomal RNA
Source: Rfam by way of RNAcentral
ACCUACAAAGUUUCCCUUGGGAUAGAUGGUUCUCAGCAAUGGGCACUUUUACCCAGCAAAGUGAAUGAUUAGAGGUGUUGGGCACAAAACAAUUGCAGCCUGUUCUCAAACUUUCAAUGUGCAAGGGGACUGGCUUACUAGCUUGAAGCUUUGCUGUUGAUUGUGAGUGCUCUGAGCACCACUUCUGGAAAACAGAACCAGUGCUUUGGGAUGAAACAAAUGCCAGGUCAAGGCACCCUAAACAUUAAAAUGUUGAUUAUAAUGACUGGACUUUAGGGCUUCAGAAAUGCAAAGAUAUAUUCUUGUAUAUUCUCCCAAUAUUGUAAGAGUAAAUUUACUUAUCUCUCCUUGUAGUAAGU